AGCAGCCGCGGUAAUUCCAGCUCCAAUAGCGUAUAUUAAAGUUGUUGCAGUUAAAAAGCUCGUAGUUGAAUUUCGGGAUCAAUACGUCGGUCGUGCUUCGGUACGUACUGGCGUAAUUGAUUUCUCCCUUCUGACGAACCAUGAUGUCAUUAACUUGGUGUCAUGGGAAAUCAGGACUGUUACUUUGAAAAAAUUAAGAGUGUUUAAAGCAGGCUCACGCUUGAAUACAUUAGCAUGGAAUAAUGAAAUAGGACGUUCGAUCCUAUUUUGUUGGUUUUUAGGAUCAACGUAAUGAUUAAUAGGGAUAGUUGGGGGCAUUAGUAUUCAAUUGUCAGAGGUGAAAUUCUUGGAUUUAUUGAAGACUAACUACUGCGAAAGCAUUUGCCAAGGAUGUUUUCAUUAAUCAAGAACGAAAGUUAGGGGAUCGAAGACGAUCAGAUACCGUCGUAGUCUUAACCAUAAACUAUGCCGACUAGGGAUCGGAUGAUGUUGAUUUUUUAAUUGACUCAUUCGGCGCCUU
Molecule: ribosomal RNA, 520 nt
Filed under: uncultured Glomus
Lineage: Eukaryota; Fungi; Glomeromycota; Glomeromycetes; Glomerales; Glomeraceae
Description: SSU rRNA
Rfam family: Eukaryotic small subunit ribosomal RNA
Source: RNAcentral